CUGGCAUAAUGAGGAAAACCUAGAUUAGUCUGAUCUAAUUGAUGAGAAAUACCUCCUACUCAUUCUGA
Molecule: non-coding RNA, 68 nt
Organism: Zea mays
Lineage: Eukaryota; Viridiplantae; Streptophyta; Magnoliopsida; Poales; Poaceae
Source: Rfam